GACGAACGCUGGCGGCGUGCUUAACACAUGCAAGUCGAACGGUGACGAGGAGCUUGCUCCUCUGAUCAGUGGCGAACGGGUGAGUAACACGUGGGAAUCUGCCCUUUGCUUCGGAAUAACAGUUAGAAAUGACUGCUAAUACCGGAUAAUGUCUUCGGACCAAAGAUUUAUCGGCAAAGGAUGAGCCCGCGUAGGAUUAGCUUGUUGGUGAGGUAAAGGCUCACCAAGGCGACGAUCCUUAGCUGGUCUGAGAGGAUGAUCAGCCACACUGGGACUGAGACACGGCCCAGACUCCUACGGGAGGCAGCAGUGGGGAAUAUUGGACAAUGGGCGAAAGCCUGAUCCAGCAAUGCCGCGUGAGUGAUGAAGGCCUUAGGGUUGUAAAGCUCUUUUACCAGGGAUGAUAAUGACAGUACCGUAGGAAGUAAGACUCCGGUCCGUAACUAACCGUCGUCCGACCGACGACGACCGCCCGGGUAAACGGUAAACGGUAACGGUUAACGUAACCUACGUAAGAACCG
RNAcentral lists this ribosomal RNA (521 nucleotides) under uncultured bacterium. RNAcentral's name for it is "bacterial SSU rRNA". It matches the Rfam family "Bacterial small subunit ribosomal RNA", at positions 28 to 530 of the family's 1533-position model. The record is from RNAcentral.